GACGGCGAGGCUGGCCGUUGUCACUGCCACCCCUUUUGCAGUGGAAUCCUGCAGAAGCUGUCACUAUUAAAUCUGUUAAUUCAGUACUCUUUGCAUUGUCGCUUCUGAAACGAUUAGAACUCCCACGUUCUAGCCUUCUCAAUAUUCAUGAUGCAAUGUAUGAGACACUCUCUUCGUGCUAUUCCUUUCAUUCAGCUAUCAUUUGUGUGUUUCUUUGUUUGCAGGAGUAGAUCUGUAAGUAUGUGGGUUUUCUUCUGUUUAGAUAAAUAUGCUUUUUCGAACCACAGACUCUUGCACUGGAUUACUACAGUGAUACUGACUUUAAUCAGUGUAGUGCUGUGUGCUCUUAGCUUUGCUCAUCCUGAAAAUUGCAGAAAAUUAUUCGCAAAACUUUAGAAUGCAGUUGAUUAAAUGCUUAGGAAUGUUUCUUUGUGGUUUACUCUAUAUCAAAUUGGUAUCCGUGCAUUCUUAUGUUCACAGUAUUAGAGCAUAGACAACGUUAAUAUCCUUGGUUUUUUAUUAGUAUUUUUCAUGAACCAGUAACUCUCCACAGCUUCUUCUUUUUUUUUUCCUUUCUGAAUUAGUGUAAA
This 590-nucleotide long non-coding RNA is filed under the name Physcomitrium patens. RNAcentral describes it as "long non-coding RNA (PPAT_LNC003733)". The record is from RNAcentral. Lineage: Eukaryota; Viridiplantae; Streptophyta; Bryopsida; Funariales; Funariaceae.